CCUACGGGUGGCAGCAGUCGAGAAUCAUGCACAAUGGGGGAAACCCUGAUGGUGCGACGCCGCGUGGGGGAAUGAAGGUCUUCGGAUGGUAAACCCCAGUCAUGUGGGAGCAAAUGAAAAAGAUAGUACCACAAGAGGAAGAGACGGCUAACUCUGUGCCAGCAGCCGCGGUAAUACGGAGGUCUCAAGCGUUGUUCGGAUUUACUGGGCGUAAAGCGGGCGUAGGCUGUUGCGUAAGUCGGAUGUGAAAGGCGCGGGCUCAACCCGCGGACGGCACAUGAUACUGCGAGACUAGAGUAAUGGAGGGGGAACCGGAAUUCUCGGUGUAGCAGUGAAAUGCGUAGAUAUCGAGAGGAACACUAGUGGCGAAGGCGGGUUCCUGGACAUUAACUGACGCUGAGGCACGAAGGCCAGGGGAGCGAAAGGGAUUAGAUACCCGGGUAGUC
RNAcentral lists this ribosomal RNA (446 nucleotides) under uncultured bacterium. Its description in RNAcentral is "partial 16S ribosomal RNA". It matches the Rfam family "Bacterial small subunit ribosomal RNA", at positions 338 to 795 of the family's 1533-position model. The record is from RNAcentral.